This is a long non-coding RNA of Phyllostomus discolor (pale spear-nosed bat), 138 nucleotides long. RefSeq lists it as uncharacterized. Lineage: Eukaryota; Metazoa; Chordata; Mammalia; Chiroptera; Phyllostomidae. The record is from RefSeq and is a predicted model, not a curated record. The transcript has 3 exons.
CCACAACCACAGCAAAAAUUACAACUAAACUACAAAAUAACUAUCAGAAUUGUCAGAACAUCAAGCUGUAGGGCAGUCUGACAACCAAGGAAUUAAAAGUCACAUUUAUCCAGACAGGAAGAAGGGGUAGAGAGGUGG